AGCAAUGUCUCACAGAGGAGCUAGCAUGGCUGUAGACUAGUCUUGUUAAACAACUAAUAAGAGGGGAUAAUUUUACUACAGCUGAGUUAUAUAAAAGUCCACAGCCUGUCUCUCUCUUUCUCCUGCAGCCACUUCAUCCCAUUCCAGGCCCUAACCUCUCGAGGUCUUGUGUUACCUCCACCCUCAUGCACAAUCACCCAACCAAGUGGAAGCUGCUUUCUGGGGUGGGGCAGAGUUUGAGACGGGUGGGGUGACUGCAGAGCCCUGUGUCCGUGAAUUCCUGAAGAGAGAAAAGAUUGGGGACAUGGAUUUUUAUGGGGGGGGGGGGCACAGGAUCAUAGGCGUGCCUCCACUGAUAGCAGAGCGCUCAUUAUACGCAUAGCACGAGACUCCUUCAAUCUGCCUUCCACGGUCAGACAUAGGCCUAUUGCUAACCCCCUGCGUGGAUUCAGACACCACACAGACAGAUAAUCCCUCCUAAAGUCUGCAAUUUGAUGUUGCUCCCCCAGAUGCACAAGACACAUUAGCAUGUAUGUGUUAUGCAUACAUACAAGCAUUGACGCACACUCACACAAAAGGGUGGGGAGGAUUUACGAUCACAGCAUGCAACUACUUUUUUGGGUUUGGGGAGAGUAAAGGAUUAUUGAUUUAGGACACUGGCCAGAUGUGUCCACAUGCCUGACACAGUGCAGUAAAAUUCAACUAUUUGCAGCAAUCUUGUCCCGCAGUGGCAUCAUUUGAUUUGUGUAGACUGAAAGGUUUUACAAUGAGUGCUUUCACUUUCCACUAUCAGUAAUGGCCUUGCUAAUGUUUCUCUCCAGGGCCUUUUCAUUCAUGUCUAAUAUAUUGUAAGUCCAUCAAUCUGUCCACACAAUGACUGACUUCUUUUCUGUGUCACAUAAAAAAUCCCAGGUCUCUUGCUCUGUCCCUGCUCUUCAUCUACAAGCCAUUUUCCAUCUCUUCAUCUCGUUGCUUUCUCAGCCUGUCAAACACCUCUCACUCUGCCCCUUUUUCCCCUCUCCUGCUAUUUUCUUUCCCCGUUUAGCAUUCACAUCACAUCCUUGUCUCUCCAUUUGGUCAGAUUUUAGGUUUGAUUAAGGGAACAGAAUCAAACUGAUGCAGUUGCUCUUUGAUAUUUAAGUGAUAUUCUGAAUCAGCAGCUCAGAGCACAUGAAGUUGAGCUGCUACCUUGCUCAGUGUGUUUCCUGUGCAUCUCUGUGUAUAUGUAAGAUUGAGCAUAUAAAUGGAGCUGGCAGGACCACAGAGCAGGACCAGACUCAGAAAGGAAGGAGCUCCACUCAAAUUAAUCUCCACUGGACAGCCCUGUAAAGGAGCAGAGCCAUUUUUGGGAGCAAGGAGCCAUCUCCUAGGAAGGCUGUGAGAAGACUGCAGAGGGAACUGUCUGUGGGAAAAUGUUGCCAGACAACACGGGGGUAUGUGACAGUGAGUGCAAGCAAAUAAAGGGACAAAAAUGUGAAAUAAGGCUAGAUGAGAUAGAUUGUCAGAUCUACAUUUGAAACUAUGAGAACUGCAGAUUUGAUGCUUUGCUCAUGCUUGAAAAAUUGCAUGUUUUAACAUGGCAGGUAACAGAAAUAAUUUAGAAGAGCCUUUACAUUUAAAUCACCUUCAGAAUUAAAUAACUUACUCUAUCUUUUCAUGACUUCAAGACUUUAUGGCUUGUUUCAAAUGUGCUUGUUCUACCUUGUGAAGCUUAUAGGUUUCAUUGCACAUCACUAGCGCCACUAGUGACAGUUGUUCACUCAUUGUAUAUCUUAGUUUCAUGCAGAGGAAGGGAUAGGGAUGUAGUGCGUGUUGUUUUGGUUGAUUUAUUUAGAUUGUUCUGUUGUUGUUUAUUUACCAUAUAUUAUAUUAUUCUUGUUGUCUGCUAAUAUUCAUGUUUCUUUUUACCAUAAUCCACCUCAAAAAGACAAUGGUGCAUCUCAUGGGGCUAACCCGCAACUUUAAAAUGUCACAUCUACUUGAAAAAAUUCCUCAACAUCAUUCCAAAAUACUACUGUAUACUUCAUCCUGAAACAAUGACAGAACUGACAUCAGGUGUAUUGUUAGGGUUUAUUACAUUCAUAGAACAGUGAUUAUCUGGUCAACCAGUACAGUAGUCGCUAAAAAUAACAUCACAUAAAGGUUAUUAACAGGUACGUCCACGUCACAAAACACAUGCUGAAUAAUUCAUUGCAUUUCUUGCUGCUUCUGAGCCUCUGGUUGGCAGAUGCAUACAGAAAGUGCUUCUCUGUUUAUGUUAACAGAGCGCCACUUUGUGGAUAAAUUAGGAAGUCCACAGAGAUAGAUGGGAAGCAAUAACCUAUAUUGAGACUAUAUGGUUGUCAUAGUUUUUUCCAUUAGGAAAUGGGUAUUAAGACUGAAAGACAAAACGAAGGUUUAGCUAGAAGGGCUCAAUGAAAUGAAAUUAUCUUAUUCCCUGUUUUAGUAUUUAUUCACCUGCAUUAUAAUAUAUGUUCCAUAACCUCCAUGUUUUCCCUGACUACCCCACCUAACGGGAACCCAUGAGAGGCCGCAGCCAGCCGAGGUGGCGCGACACUUUCUGGAAGAUGUAGCCUUUGGUGCAGUCGGCCCCUGGCGGCUGGCUGACCACCCCAGUGAGGAAGAACACCUCCUUGUACAGGGUGAGCAGGGGGCUGCCAGAGCUCAUGGUGCAGUCAGCAUUGGUCCGGGGAGUGGUGCAGCCCAUUUUAUUGGUCAUCAGGUUGGGGUGAGUCUCCAGACACUGAGACAGGCGGUUGUACGCCAGUUGGUUAAGGGUGAGCGGGCCCUGGAAAGCAGAUACCUGAUUGGGUUCUUUCCAGCCGGUGACUAUGACC
Sander lucioperca (pikeperch) is the source of this 2837-nucleotide long non-coding RNA. RefSeq lists it as uncharacterized. The transcript is spliced from 2 exons. The record is from RefSeq and is a predicted model, not a curated record. Lineage: Eukaryota; Metazoa; Chordata; Actinopteri; Perciformes; Percidae.